This 255-nucleotide ribosomal RNA is filed under the name uncultured bacterium. RNAcentral's name for it is "partial 16S ribosomal RNA". It matches the Rfam family "Bacterial small subunit ribosomal RNA", at positions 524 to 776 of the family's 1533-position model. The record is from RNAcentral.
UACGUAGGGUGCAAGCGUUGUCCGGAAUUAUUGGGCGUAAAGAGCUCGUAGGCGGUUUGUCGCGUCUGCUGUGAAAACUCGGGGCUUAACCCCCGGGCCUGCAGUGGGUACGGGCAGACUAGAGUGCGGUAGGGGGAGACUGGAAUUCCUGGUGUAGCGGUGAAAUGCGCAGAUAUCAGGAGGAACACCGGUGGCGAAGGCGGGUCUCUGGGCCGUAACUGACGCUGAGGAGCGAAAGCAUGGGGAGCGAACAGG